This 100-nucleotide small nuclear RNA is filed under the name Vombatus ursinus (common wombat). Lineage: Eukaryota; Metazoa; Chordata; Mammalia; Diprotodontia; Vombatidae. The record is from RNAcentral.
GCCAGCUUUGGCAUAUACUAAAAUUGGAAUGAUACAGAGUAGAUUAGCAUGGACCCUGUACAAGGAUGACAUGCAAAUUUGUGAAGCAUUCCAUAUUUUU